GCAAACUUGGUCAUUUAGAGGAAGUAAAAGUCGUAACAAGGUUUCCGUAGGUGAACCUGCGGAAGGAUCAUUAGAAAUGCUAUUGUUUUUUUCUCUUCUCGAGGAAAACACAUCAUUUCCUGACUUUUUCGCUGCCAUGAAGCUUUUUCCUUUUUCUUUUCACAAAGAAAAGGGGGGGCCGCCUGGCGCGUUAAGUCGGAUUCUUUUUUUCAGCAGAAUUUUUUAGCUUUCUUUUGAGGGCUAAUCUUUUGUUGGAAAUUUCAAUCUACACCUAUUUUUUGUCUGAACCUUCUUUAUAUUUAUAAUCUUAAAUAUAAAACAACUUUCAACAAUGGAUCCCUCGGUUCUCCCAUCGAUGAAGAACGCAGC
This 369-nucleotide unclassified non-coding RNA is filed under the name uncultured fungus. RNAcentral describes it as "partial contains small subunit ribosomal RNA, internal transcribed spacer 1, and 5.8S ribosomal RNA". The stretch from base 1 to 73 matches the Rfam family "Eukaryotic small subunit ribosomal RNA", at positions 1759 to 1831 of the family's 1831-position model. The record is from RNAcentral. Lineage: Eukaryota; Fungi.